GAGAAUAUAGCAUAAGUUAAUGCAUUUCAUUUACAUUGAAAUUAUAUUUACGUUAGUUAAGUUAUUCUUA
This 70-nucleotide transfer RNA is filed under the name Rivularia auriculata. Its description in RNAcentral is "tRNA-Val". It matches the Rfam family "tRNA". Rfam says of the family: Transfer RNA (tRNA) molecules are approximately 80 nucleotides in length. Their secondary structure includes four short double-helical elements and three loops (D, anti-codon, and T loops). RNAcentral also lists the same sequence under 2 other names. The record is from RNAcentral. Lineage: Eukaryota; Metazoa; Mollusca; Gastropoda; Architaenioglossa; Viviparidae.